Molecule: long non-coding RNA, 312 nt
Filed under: Meleagris gallopavo (turkey)
Lineage: Eukaryota; Metazoa; Chordata; Aves; Galliformes; Phasianidae
Description: lncRNA (ENSMGAG00000020625.1)
Source: RNAcentral
AUGAGGAAGCCCUACAGUACCGGUGUGCUACUCCUUUUCCCAGAGAUCUGCCAUUUUUCUGCACCGGCAGAAGCAACCGAGUGCAACCUAUUAUUUCCCAAAGAAGGACUUGGAGCUGCUGAUACACGACACACCAGAUAGGUGUGAAUAUCUUAUUGUUUAUUAUGCUUUGGUUAGAACAGACUUCGUUUGAGAAGUCACAUUUAAUUCAUGUCCACUGAUGUCAUAUGAUGCCUUUCUUGUUUAUUAAACAGAAAAAAGGCUUAGUUUUACCAGUACACAAGAGUAAUAUUCCACAACUGCUUGAAGAAG